AUGGUAGUGAAAAUGAUGGCGACCGAUGCAGAGGAGAUAAGAAACCAAACAAGCCCCUGCCCUAUCCCCGACAACAGUCUCAGCACUCUGUCCAUCAAAAUCACGCGGAAAAACCAGGAUAGACACUGGAAGUUGCGGUCUAUUUACCUGCAGUGCUAUUUCUUGACCAUUGCAACAAUAUUGGGAACUGGAAUCUUAGGUCUUCCAGUGACGAUAGCCCAUGCUGGAUUGUUGCCUUUCCUCGUCUCGUUUCUCGUUGGCUUCUUUGUCCAGGCUUUGCUUAUCUACCUGUUUGUGGAACUUCUUCAGAAAUGUCAGGUGGUUCAGCUGGAAUCUCUGAAGACAGGUGUCGCCGAAUGUAUCUCGAUGGAUCAGGUGGGCGUGGAGGAUCCGGCACCCACAGAGGACGAGGAUGAGGACGAGGGUGAAAAUGCAGAGGCGGAUACCGGUUUACUACAGUCAGAUGGAGUAGCUUUGCACAACCAAGCUGAGUGCCUGCAGCCCAACCUUCAUCUGCUCGGCUACAUCUUCCUCUCCCGGCCCAUGAGCCACGCCUUUAACUGCAUCCUCCUCUUCCAGUUUAUUUCUAUUGGAAUCAGUUAUGUGUUAGCUGGCAGUGAGGCCUUUGCUGCUCUUCUUAAUGUCAGCCACAUCUACGUGAUCCCGGCCUUCACCUGGAUUCUAACUCUUGCAAUCUUACUGGCCCACACAAUCAUCCAACCAAUCACGUCUCUGCUUACCCUGCUGAAAGGACUUCUGCUCAUUGUCACGGUGGCUGUGACAUUUGCGGUGGGGUCUGAGGUUGGCCUUCAGAGCAGCAGUGACUUCAGUCAGAUGGGGAAACCUUUCCUAAUGGGAACAGUGGCUCUGGGGGGGAUAGUAAACGUGAUGCCUCUGCUCUUCUCGCAGAUCUCUCACAACAAAACACAGAUCCUGUGGUUUCGGAGAGCAGUGCUUGGAGGUCUGACAACCUGCACUGUGCUCAACAUCCUCUGGUGCUGGGCUGUGCUGGAAAUUGUCCCCCAGACGUCGUUACCAGAGAGGCGGACGGCAGGAGAGACUACAACCCAGCCCGACUCCAGCAGCCUGUCUGGUCCUCACUCCGCUGUCUCCCCUCUGCUGUACUCCAACAUCUCACUAGAGGAGAUGGAUGAUGAGCCUUGCAUGCUUUCAUUCAGGCCAGUCAGAAGGAUACGGGUGUCAGAUGUUCCGGCUCGGCAGGAGGCACAGUCUGAGACGUGUGCAGCACGUCAGCAAGUCAGCACCUUGCCCCAAGACCGCCACCUGCCAUCAAAGUACAGCAACAGGUCUGAGAAAGCGGGCGAGAUUGCAACCAUUCCACUGACUAAGAUUAUUAAUGAACGUUACAGGGCGUACUCCUGGGUGGCUGAGCUGAUCCAGGUCUUCAUAGCCAUCAGCGUCACUGUGUCCUUCCUGGUGAUGGGAUCGGCCAUGAAACACACCAUUGAUGGCCUGGUGAACUCGCUGUGGAGCAGCCAACUGGAGUGGUUGUCUAAAGCCUGGGAGAGAAACCUGCCGAACAAACAUCACAUCUGCUCAGCGAGAAGCAUGGCUAAAGGAUUCAUGUCGCUUCUUGGGUUUACUGUCAUCUUUAUCGUGUCAGUGUGUGAUCCCAGGGGUUUCAUUGUCAUGUUGGACAAAGUUGUGUCGUUCUCCCUCAACACUGAAGUUGGACUGUUUGUCUUCAUCAUGCUGAGAGAAUCCAGAGAAGACAGAUUCCAACACCUUGCUGUCCCUCUGCCAGUAGGUGACUGUGUCUUCAGCCUCAGCUGGAUGCUCCCCACCUACUUCCUGUUUGCAGUUACGUACGACGUCCUGCAGACUCUGGCGGACGUGGCUCAUUACCUGCAUUUCUACAGCAACAGUGAGGAAGCACACAGCCACAAUCUGACUGGGAGUUUAACGGCAGCCAAUCUGUCCGUCCUGCUCUGAUCCUCAAUCAGCCAGAAAACAGACGGACCAGUAGGAGUUGGAAUUGCCAAAAAUCAGAUGCUUAGCAAGUGCUUUUAUAUUGUAUUCACACUUAUCAAGCUCUUGAUACAUUUUGAAAAUGUCAAACAUAGGCAUUAUUUGUUUUUGAUGGAAUGUUUUUGCACUCUUUUUUUCUUUGUUCACUUGCGGUGGCCUCGCUGCGCAUGCAAACUGUAAAAUGUUUUAGUUUUUCCAGUAGUCUGGAAACCACCACACAGCAGGGGCCAGAUGUAUGAACGAGGCAUACGCACAAAAAAACAUCAAGUGUCUCCACCUCAUGCAUAGUUCAGACCGAGUGUACCUUUAAGGUGUAGAUCAGUGGUUCCCACUAGGGGUCACCAAAGCUUCACAGGGUUGUGAUGCCUUCUUGAAAACUUUAAACAAAAACAAAUAUACACAUUAGGCCUGUAUCUCAGUAUAUUGUUCAUUUCUGUGAAGUAUUUUAUAGUUUAGAUUAUUAUUCAAGAAUAAAAUCAACAUAUAUUCACAGAGCCUCCGAUAAACAGCCUCCUGCUGCAUCUGUAAAAUACACAGUAUGAACAUGUGUCAAAGGAAGAAGCCUAUUAGGGAG
Molecule: long non-coding RNA, 2563 nt
Filed under: Dicentrarchus labrax (European seabass)
Lineage: Eukaryota; Metazoa; Chordata; Actinopteri; Moronidae
Description: lncRNA (ENSDLAG00005034613.1)
Source: RNAcentral